UACGGGGGGAGCAAGCGUUGUCCGGAAUCACUGGGCGUAAAGGGCGCGUAGGUGGCUUUGUAAGUUUGCGGUGAAAGCCCGGGGCUCAACCCCGGGUCUGCCGUGGAUACUGCAAGGCUUGAGUACUGUAGAGGCAGGUAGAAUAUCGGGUGUAGCGGUGGAAUGCGUAGAGAUCCGAUAGAAGACCGGUGGCGAAGGCGGCCUGCUGGGCAGUAACUGACACUGAGGCGCGACAGCGUGGGGAGCAAACAGG
RNAcentral lists this ribosomal RNA (253 nucleotides) under uncultured bacterium. RNAcentral's name for it is "partial 16S ribosomal RNA". It matches the Rfam family "Bacterial small subunit ribosomal RNA", at positions 524 to 776 of the family's 1533-position model. The record is from RNAcentral.